RNAcentral lists this unclassified non-coding RNA (345 nucleotides) under soil metagenome. RNAcentral describes it as "partial contains 5.8S ribosomal RNA, internal transcribed spacer 2, and large subunit ribosomal RNA". The stretch from base 1 to 120 matches the Rfam family "5.8S ribosomal RNA", at positions 35 to 154 of the family's 154-position model. The record is from RNAcentral.
GAUGAAGAACGCAGCGAAAUGCGAUACGUAAUGUGAAUUGCAGAAUUCAGUGAAUCAUCGAGUCUUUGAACGCACAUUGCGCCCCCUGGUAUUCCGGGGGGCAUGCCUGUCCGAGCGUCAUUGCUGCCCUCAAGCACGGCUUGUGUGUUGGGCCUCCGUCCUCCUCCCGGGGGACGGGCCCGAAAGGCAGCGGCGGCACCGCGUCCGGUCCUCGAGCGUAUGGGGCUUCGUCACCCGCUCUUGUAGGCCCGGCCGGCGCUUGCCGACACAUCAAUCUUAUUUCCAGGUUGACCUCGGAUCAGGUAGGGAUACCCGCUGAACUUAAGCAUAUCAAUAAGCGGAGGA